AUUCUCCCGUGACGGUGACUCCAACGGUUGGCUGAGGACGAUUCCCUGAGCCUUGACAAAGCAGGAGCCCUCCGUGGCGGUGCGUCGGUGUCGAGGCUCCAGUCUGACUAAUCCAGGGGGUCGACAAAACAGAUUCGGGACACUAUGCUACACGGAGGGCCUACCAGGAUGCAGAAACAGCAGACGGAGUCCAGGGAAAGCAGUGCGGCAUCCCAGCCUCAGGCCUGCCCGUACGGUGUUCGGACGGAAUGAAGUUGAUAAUAGUGAGACCUUGUUGGUACAAGACUAUGUAACAUAACCUGCGCUUCUCAACAAAGAAUUGCUUUUCUGACUUCUGCACUCAAUAGCAAGACAAAUCUCUCCUCUGCCUUCUCCUUAUCAGACUACUCAACAUGAAGGCAAUAAGAAUGAAGACCUCUAUGUAUAAUAAUUGACUUCCACUUAAUAAAUAAGGUUACUUGGUACACUGGUCGACAAAACCUUGAAAUGUUGAUGUUUAAGGGCUGUUGAUUGCUGGCAGCAAAGAAGUCCAACUGUGCUGGUACCCGAGAUAGCGUCUCCACAUUUUCUUCCAGGAUCAUCACCUUUGUUCUAAAUAGCUCCCACAUAGUGUGAACAGAAGUCAUAUGUUUUAGAUUUUCUGCCUUGGCACCCAGGAAACCAGUAUGAUUGAGUAAACAUAUUAAACUUCCUCUGCAUUUCCAGCCUGAACAGAUGUUGAGUACAAGCUGAUCCACCUACGUUCAACCUGAGAGAGUCCACAUCCACAGACUGUUUCAUUUCCCUUUUUCAAUUUACAUAGAAGCAUAGAUUCUUGCUGGCAUAUACAAAUGCGCCAUUUAAGGCAAUCAAAAAUGGUUCCACAUCUCAUCUGAUUUCCACAAUUGUUGCUGUAACGAUGGACUACUGAGGAGAGAGACAAUUUCUCUGGCACAUCUUCCCACAUUUUAGCAACAUGUUCAUGGAGAGCCAAUAUUCAGUAAUUACAGCCCAAUUCCUCACAAUUUCACAAUUCGCUAACAAUAUGCAUUUUCACAAUGUAAAGCUGAUUUUCCUUUAACCAAAUCAAACAUGAAAAGAUAGCUGCAUGCAAUGGGCAAUCUAGAUCAUUAGAAGAUUGAUGUAAAAUUAGAGGACACUGAGACUGGAAUAGAUUGCAAACUUCAGGGAGCUCAGAAAACUUGUAAACUCUACAUUUUGAGGAAAUAUGUUGUCGAUGCUUUUGCAACUCUAUGCAGUAACUUAACAAAUAAAGCCUUAAAGUAACUUAUCUACGA
RNAcentral lists this long non-coding RNA (1277 nucleotides) under Homo sapiens (human). Its description in RNAcentral is "MIR663A host gene". The record is from RNAcentral. Lineage: Eukaryota; Metazoa; Chordata; Mammalia; Primates; Hominidae.